GAACUCCAUUCGCAAGUGACAUUAGCUUUGCGCAUGCUUAAAGCAACCUAUGCGCUGGCACGUCGCGAGUCACACGAAGGACGCAGACAUUACGGCGCUGCCCAGAAUUUUUAUCUUCUUAUUAUCUCGCAACAUAUUUAACCACGUGAUUAGGAAACCCAUUGAAAAAAACUUUUAUGCUUUAAUCUUUUUUUCUCCACAACUACUGAUUUUCGCUUCAAAAUAAUUUUCAUGGCCUGAUGGCUAAAGUGUUCGACUCGUUAUUUGUGGGGCACGGAUUCAAAUCCCAUUACCAAACAUAUUUGCCCUUUCAUCCGUGAGGACGCAAAAAUUCGAUUAGAGUAGCCCAAGUGUUGGCGCUCCAAAGUUGAUGGGCUUGCUUCUUUCAUAAUCUACACGUGUUAGUGUAUAUUGAGAAAAAUAUAACAAAUUAAGUAAAGAUAUGGCUUUAUACCCGUUAAAGGUAUAGAAAGGUUGAGUGAGUUGGAAGCAAAACAUUCGAGUAUAAGUCUUGUUAAUUAUCUGCAAUUUUUUUACUUUAAACAGUUAUAUUUGCCAAGCUCUCCAAUUUUCGUUAUUCUGUUCAAAGUUUCCCACAGUUGGCAGAUUUCUAGAUACUAUUAACGCAUAAUGUCGAUAGAACUACAUGAGCCACGUGUAUGUAUAUGUUUUAUAUUUGUUUUUAUCUUUAAUUAAAAUAAUUUAUGGAA
This is a long non-coding RNA of Limulus polyphemus (Atlantic horseshoe crab), 710 nucleotides long. RefSeq lists it as uncharacterized. The transcript has 3 exons. The record is from RefSeq and is a predicted model, not a curated record. Lineage: Eukaryota; Metazoa; Arthropoda; Merostomata; Xiphosura; Limulidae.